This 1704-nucleotide long non-coding RNA is filed under the name Ooceraea biroi (clonal raider ant). Its description in RNAcentral is "uncharacterized LOC105278714". The record is from RNAcentral. Lineage: Eukaryota; Metazoa; Arthropoda; Insecta; Hymenoptera; Formicidae.
AGACUAUCGUUCGAUCUAUCCUCCUUUUCUCCUCCGCUCGUCCAUUCGACGUUUCGUCUCUCUUCUCGCUCGCUGAUCUACGAAACUCGCGAGGGACCCCCGGAGGCCUCGCCCCGCCGCUGUCCGACCUCACUGCUCGUUGUCUCGGGGGGCCCCCAAGCUGUUUUGUCCCGUCAGUCCCGGGCGCGCAAUGCGAUAUCUAUGGGUUUCUUUUGGGGCCUUGUGUCGAAGCCGCCAUUAUACCGGAGAGAGAGAGGUCCUCCCCUCGACUCCGCCGACCCUCUCCUUGCACGAAUACGGGUUCGAAGUGUAGUUCACAGGAACGUCAGGCCGCAGCCAACGACGACGGCGACGAAGAAGACGAAGACGACGAGGGCGAGUGGCGGCGGCGAGGACGACGCGCGCGUACGAGUGCAAGCGCUUCUGGGAUUGUUUUUCUCCGUCUUCCUUUUUUUCAAAGAGGAUGUGUGCGCCUCGUGCGUCAAAAACCAGGGAGGCAGGAAGAAGAGGAAAACGAGGUGGAGAAGGAGGAGGGAGAGAGCGAGCGCUAGAAUCCCGCGCUCUCCCGGAUCUCUAGUUGGGCUAUUCACGGCGGUACGCGCUUUCGAAAGGGAUGAAAGGGUAACGCGGUACCGCGGCGACUGUCCUCUCGUCGUCCCUUCGGACCCUCCUUUUGGCAGCGUGCGAGGAAAGAAAGGAAGAGGUUCAAGAGACAGAAGCGGCGGCGGCGCUUUCUGUACACGAGAACUCCUUUCGUCCCUACCUCUUCCUCUCUUCUUAAGCAGCCUAAUUAUUGCCCUAUCGACAUAGAUUUCUCAGAUCGGAUUACGCAGCGCUCUGACACCCGUGAGCGUUCUCGAGACUCGUCGGGACCUUCAGUUGGACGCAAAAUCCUGUGGCGAUUCGCCGACAAGGGGAGAGACGUCAUUGUUCCUUGUAACAUAAUAAGAGGCAGAACAGAGUAUCACCUGAGACGCCACAAUGAAUGAAUCUGCGAACGAUGGAACCCGCAGGAUAUUUGCCCAAGCCUGUGCAUGAAAAAUGGUCAUUGGGCGGCGCUGAACGUGACAGGGCAAUACGAGGGAACUCGUUCGGCCGUUCAUCGGACGUAAUGUUGCCGUUUGUCGCUAACACAUGAAUAUCCAAACGCACGACACUCAUCGAUAAUUCAAUAUCGCACGUAGUAACGAUCGAGCCCGGCCUCUUUUGUCGUGGUAUGUCGCGCCAUAAUGACGCGUUUCCUCCGUCGUGAAAAUUUAAUUGAUCUACCAAGACCUUCCCACGAAGGACGGGCGCACAUUACAUUAAUAUGGGCCUCCGCGGCGUACCGGAAAUCGUCAGGAGUCCAUCAUUUCCCUCCGCGCGUUUGGACAAUUUAUAUUUUUGAUGUAAACGACGCUACGAGCGUAAUCGCUGUUGGAAAGGAAGCCGCAGGAGGGAACAGCAAAAUGACGCUACAGGCAUUGAAUCUGCAUAACACGACGAAUUCCUCACACAAAUCGCAAUGACGAUGAUGAAUCAAUAUUUAAAUAUACGGAGAACCCACGCAAAAUUUCGUCGGCCGAUUCGGAGAUAAUCCUGUUAUAGAUGCACAGGCAUUCACAAAAAAAGAUAUGAAAGAAUCUAAAUAGGCGCCGUACGACCUACACGAGUGAUUUCUUUGUUGCCGGUCGAAUAUAUGUGUCGCAAAGUUCUACGAGAAAA